AAAUAUGGGUUGUUUAUGGCUUCCCACAACACAUUAAAACGCGCGGACUGUGAAUGAAUGAGUUAUGGCCAGGUUAUGGCAUGUGUCAGGUUAAUCUGAACCUCGGGUGGAGAGCGGGACAGCAACGUUCUACGUGCGCUUACGGCAAUCCAAAAGACUGCCAAAAUCAACUGUCAAGAGAAACUCGUGCUUGCCUCACUUCAGUUUCCCCAGCGCCAGUGUGUGUCAGACUUCAGUUUAUGCAGAUGUGCUGCUGCUGAAGGCAGUCACCCGGUGGAGGAACUUGUUUUUUGACAGGCAUACUACAGAUGCUGUGCUGCGAACGGACACUGCAGUCACCUGUGGGAGGGGUCAAUCAAAUCGGAUCUCAAAAACAGAUGUCGCGAAUCUGAUCUGAUCUACCUACCUCUAUGUGGCAAUAGAGUACCUGCUUUUACUGGCCAGGGGACCAAGAUGAAAACAAGAGGCCUGUACCCAGACA
Molecule: long non-coding RNA, 481 nt
Organism: Engraulis encrasicolus (European anchovy)
Lineage: Eukaryota; Metazoa; Chordata; Actinopteri; Clupeiformes; Engraulidae
Exons: 4
Source: RefSeq, a predicted model, not a curated record